RNAcentral lists this ribosomal RNA (743 nucleotides) under Rhizopogon sp. Its description in RNAcentral is "LSU rRNA". It matches the Rfam family "Eukaryotic large subunit ribosomal RNA", at positions 114 to 830 of the family's 3401-position model. Lineage: Eukaryota; Fungi; Basidiomycota; Agaricomycetes; Boletales; Rhizopogonaceae. The record is from RNAcentral.
UUUGAAUCUGGCGGUCUUUUAGGCCGUCCGAAUUGUAAUCUAGAGAAGUGCUUUCCGCGCUGGACCGUGUAUAAGUUUCCUGGAAUGGAACGUCGUAGAGGGUGAGAAUCCCGUCUUUGACACGGACUACCAGGGCUAUGUGAUGCGCUCUCGACGAGUCGAGUUGUUUGGGAAUGCAGCUCAAAUUGGGUGGUAAAUUCCAUCUAAAGCUAAAUACAGGCGAGAGACCGAUAGCGAACAAGUACCGUGAGGGAAAGAUGAAAAGAACUUUGGAAAGAGAGUUAAACAGUACGUGAAAUUGCUGAAAGGGAAACGCUUGAUGUCAGUCGCGUUCGCCGGGGAUCAGCCUUGCUUAAUUGCUGGGUGUACUUCCUAGUGGACGGGUCAGCAUCAGUUUUGACUGUCGGAAAAUGGCUYGAGGAAUGUGGCACUCUUUCGGGAGUGUGUUAUAGACUCGRGUCGAAUACGAUGGUUGGGACUGAGGAACUCAGCACGACCUUAGGGUUCGGGACUUYGGUCUACGUUUGCGUGCUUAGGAUGCUGGCAUAAUGGCCUUAAGCGACCCGUCUUGAAACACGGACCAAGGAGUCUAACGUGCAUGCGAGUGUUUGGGUGUUCAAACCCGAGCGCGUAAUGAAAGUGAAAGUCGAGACCUCUGUCGUGGAGGGCACCGACGCCCGGACCGGAGCUUUUGCUAUGGAUCUGCGGUAGAGCAUGUAUGUUGGGACCCGAAAGAUGGUGAA